Molecule: long non-coding RNA, 1963 nt
Filed under: Malus domestica (apple)
Lineage: Eukaryota; Viridiplantae; Streptophyta; Magnoliopsida; Rosales; Rosaceae
Description: long non-coding RNA (MDOM_LNC005058)
Source: RNAcentral
UCAAAUAUUAAGAGCCCGGAUCACUUGAUCCAUGGAUUUUGGAGGAAGAGAUCCAAAGAGGAUCUCUCUCCCUUCUUUAGUAUGUGAAAGUAAAAUUUUAUCCUAUUUCUUUUCUUUUUAUAACUCACUUCAAAUCAUCCUAUUUUCUCCAAAAACAGGAGAGCGAUGUUAUCUGCACUAAAAUAUGUUUGCAAUGUAUGCAUGAGUUGUAAGAUAAAAUGCGUGACCCAUAUUUUUAGAAUGCAAAUAAAAGGGUAUUUUUUUUAUUUUAUUUUUAUUUUUCAUUGUAUGAUAUAUAUUUUUUGGCUUAAUUGUAGCAAUGGUUAUUAAAUUUUUUGUUUAGGUUAAUUUUAGUCUUUGAACUCUCAUAGCUUUAAUAAAUAAAAAAACGACUUUAGUAAAAAUGACUAAUGGUGCAACACAUUGUUAAAUUUGAGAACUAAAAAAAUUAAUAUGAGAGUUCAUGGCAUAGAAUUAAGCUAAAAGUAAAGUUCAAAAACCAUUAUUGCAAUCAAGCCUUCUGUUUUCAUCUUGUAUGAAGUUUGAUCCUCUAUCAAAAAUAUUUAUAGUUUUCGAAAAGCUAUUUCCACUCUCCUGUUCAAAUAAAUAUUAUUGUAUUAAUCUAUGUUAAAAAGACUAUUUCCACUCUCCUGUUCAAAUAAAUAUUAUUGUAUUAAUCUAUGUUAAAAAGACUAGUAUCCAAAGAUCUAUGAUAAUCCAAUUAUCUUGCAUACGACAAACAAGUUUUCCCUUGUAAGUUCAUAAUAAUCGUGUUUAUCAAACGAUAUUAUCAACACUAAAAGGAAAAGAGUGGACUUAGCCUCAUAAUGAGCUAGCAAUAAUGAAGUUAAAAUUUAUUUUUGGUGAAAAUCGAACUUAACAUCUCUCACUUACAAAUAAAAAGAAUAUCACUGAAUCGUAGUACUAAGUAGCAUAACGACCGUGUUUAUAAGUUUGUAGAUUACCUAUCCCUAAAUUUCGAUCCGAUAUUAAUCACAUUUGCAUCAUAUAAACAUGUAUAAAAUAACGAUCAUGUCCAUGCAUGCUUUUAAUUAUUUUUAUUGCAUAAUUGUAGCGCAAAGCUAUUGAUCAACCAAACGUACACACACCCACAUAAUACAUAAAUUAUUUGUAGACAUAUACCAAAAGAAAUGGGGUGGACAAUUUUCUAAUGCAUGAAAUGGCAUGCAGUUUUAGGUUAAUUAAUUAAUUAUAGAACAACUUUUUUCUACUUUAGCUAAUAAGAUAAGAAGAUUCUUUUAAUUAAUAUUUUGUUGUUUUAUUAUUAAGCAAGUUAGCAAUUGAAUAAAGGUUUAGGAAGGCAGCUUGGUAUUACUAAACAACAAAGUACAAUUGUCCCAAUGCUGCUCAAGACUUAAUACCAAAUAAUUAGUUAUUGUUUUUGUUCUCUUAGCAGCAACUGAGUCAUUUACAAUAUAAAUAUAAUGAAUAGGUGGUUUGUAGAUUAUUUUAAAAGAUGAUGUGUGAUAAUUUGAUUCGAAGCAAGAUCCCCACAACAACCACUGUUUGGAUUAUCAAUGGAUAUUUUGUGAAAUUUAUAACAAAAGAAUAAUUUAUGAGUAAUUGAACAAGGAAAAUUAUGCUUCUUAUUUUACAUAAUUUGAGUAGAAUAUAUAAUUCGGUAAUCGAAAGUUAGGGUUUGUGCUUAAUGGUGAAUGUUUCAUGCAAUUAAACUAAAAAAAUAUAGACCGUGUUUUAGUAGAACCUGGAUUGCAAUGAUGAAUCUUGUGAACGGAUUUCUUUCAAUUCCUCAAUGCAGCUGAUAACAUGUUAUCCUAUUUUCUUUGAGGGUGUGGCAAAGAGAGGAAAAAAAAAAGAGAUGGAGCAAUGAAUUAUGUGUGUUAUUCCUCAUGUCUUGUGCCUUUAUUUAUACAGAGAAAAACUUAGUCCCCAAGGAAUACAAUUCAAAUCAGGAAACUAUCUAAAAGAUAUUGGGGUAAAU